This is a non-coding RNA of Pelobates cultripes (western spadefoot toad), 276 nucleotides long. NCBI's taxonomy places the organism in Eukaryota, Metazoa, Chordata, Amphibia, Anura, Pelobatidae. The record is from the annotation of a GenBank genome assembly.
GACUGCCAGUCUCUAUGGGAUCACCUGCAAUAGAUCAGCCAAGAGCUGUUUUUCUGCCGGUUUAUUCACAUGGGACCUAUACUUGAACUGGCACCUGAUAGACUAAUGCUAGCAUCCAUAUGUCUUGUGUAUAACAUUAAGACAAGCAUUCUGAGAUUCACAUUUAAAUUAAAUUUGAAAAAAUGAAUACGUUCCCACACUGGAAAUACUUGUGUCAGUAAUUUUUUUUCUUGAUUGUAUUGUACAUCAGUAAGCCUGCAUUAGGAGUGGCAAAAC